GGAUUCUGGAAAACAGAGGGUGGCCGAUUGGAUGGUGAGCAGCGGCGGCGGCCAUUAUCGGUGAAGGGAAAGACGAAGGAGCGAAAGAAUCGGUUAACGACGUCUGGAGGCCUAUGUCCGAUUUGCUUUUAAACGGUUUAAAAGGGUAAAUUUGUCUUUCCAUAUUAUUCGUUUCUAUUAUUUUAAUUAAACUUACAAUUCCUAUAUUUUAUUCAAUCGAUCGAUGGUAUUAAAAUAUAAUUUGAUUUUUAAAUAAUGUUUACAAUUUGACAUUCUUUUAAGUUUGUUAAAUUGUAAACGUGCAAAAUUAGAUGUUUAACAUCUUUAACUUGCUUAAUUUAUCCAUAGUUGGAAAUAAUAUUUAUAAAUUUGUAAUAAAAAUAGUUGCAAAUAUGGCCGUUAGAUUCCAAAUAACUAAGUAUAUAAUAAUAUGACAAAAUCUGUAAAAAUUUAAUAAAUGUCAUAGACUAUAUUGCAGAUAUUGGUCGCAAAAAUUUUAAAAGGUUAUUAUAUACUUAAUUAUUAUUCCUACUAUCUAUUAUAAUUACUUUAUAAUAUUAUAAUAUUUUGAUAAUACUUGCAUUUACAUAUUUCUAAGUUAAAAUAUUAUAAAUUUAGAAACAAUUAUAAAAAUAGUAAAAUAAAUUAAAAUAUUUAUGAAUUAUAAUAAAAUUUUGAAUUCGAACUAUAUAGUUUCCAGAUAUAAUUUGUUAAAAAUUGUAAAAUUUACUAUUUUGUAAUCUUUUUAUAAUUUUACUUAAAAUUUUAUAAUUUAAUACAAUUUGAACUUAUCAAACAUUUCCAAUUAAUAAUAUAUAAAAAGGAAAGAAAAUGUCAAAUGAGGAUUGAUGGGAAUCUUAAAAUCCAUCCGUGUGUUCAUAGAGAAAUGUAAAGAGUAGGACUUCAACGUGCUAAAUGACAAUUUUACUACUCAAAUAGUAUUAGCCUUAUGGUUAUUUCGUUUUAUAUAUAUUAAUAAAGAGUAUAAAUUUGAGAAGAAUGCUUGAGUUCCUCUUGAUAUAUACUCUAAAAUUGGUUGAUUUUGAUGUGUAAGUCUAUACAUAUAAAUAAAUAAUAUAUAUAUAAGAUGUACUUUAUUAUUAUUUGACCACUCGAAUAUGUCCUAUCCCUAUCUUUCUUAGUAGAUAAUGCGAAUUAACUUUCGUUUGCAUUUUUGUGAACUCUAAGAGCAUCGCCGGUGAUUCUACAUAUUCUCCACUCCCCCAAGAUUGGCGCACCCAUUUCUUCAUAAAAUUUAAUCGCAUUCACAUCCCGAUCAAGCAACGCCCUCUCCACUUGACAGUAAUCCAUUUUCACCGCCUGAUUCACUACCGCC
RNAcentral lists this long non-coding RNA (1336 nucleotides) under Cucumis sativus (cucumber). Its description in RNAcentral is "long non-coding RNA (CSAT_LNC002117)". The record is from RNAcentral. Lineage: Eukaryota; Viridiplantae; Streptophyta; Magnoliopsida; Cucurbitales; Cucurbitaceae.